RNAcentral lists this ribosomal RNA (204 nucleotides) under uncultured bacterium. Its description in RNAcentral is "partial 16S ribosomal RNA". It matches the Rfam family "Bacterial small subunit ribosomal RNA", at positions 568 to 774 of the family's 1533-position model. The record is from RNAcentral.
UGUGUAGGUGGUGGUAUUAGUCUCCUGUUAAAGACCGGGCCCAACCCGGGAGUGCGGGGAAACGGUACCACUAGAGGGUGAGAGAGGUGUACGGAACUCACGGUGUAGGAGUGAAAUCCGUUGAUAUCGUGGGGAACACCAAAUGCGAAGGCAGUACACUGGCUCAUUUCUGACACUGAGACACGAAAGCGUGGGUAGCGAACG